AGAACGAACGCUGGCGGCAUGCCUAAUACAUGCAAGUCGAACGAACUCUUCGGAGUUAGUGGCGCACGGGUGCGUAACGCGUGGGAAUCUGCCCCUUGGUUCGGAAUAACAGUUGGAAACGACUGCUAAUACCGGAUGAUGACGAAAGUCCAAAGAUUUAUCGCCAAGGGAUGAGCCCGCGUAGGAUUAGCUAGUUGGUGAGGUAAAGGCUCACCAAGGCAACGAUCCUUAGCUGGUCUGAGAGGAUGAUCAGCCACACUGGACUGAGACACGGCCCAGACUCCGUACGGGAGGCAGCGAGUAGGGAAUAGUGGACAAGUGGGACGAAAGCCUAGAUCCGAGCAAUGCCGACGUGAGUGAUGAAGCUUAGGUGUAAGCUCUUUACCGAGAUGAUAAUGACAGUA
This 404-nucleotide ribosomal RNA is filed under the name uncultured soil bacterium. RNAcentral's name for it is "bacterial SSU rRNA". It matches the Rfam family "Bacterial small subunit ribosomal RNA", at positions 26 to 457 of the family's 1533-position model. The record is from RNAcentral.